RNAcentral lists this ribosomal RNA (254 nucleotides) under uncultured bacterium. Its description in RNAcentral is "partial 16S ribosomal RNA". It matches the Rfam family "Bacterial small subunit ribosomal RNA", at positions 524 to 776 of the family's 1533-position model. The record is from RNAcentral.
UACGUAGGGUGCGAGCGUUGUCCGGAAUUAUUGGGCGUAAAGAGCUCGUAGGCGGUCUGUCGCGUCGAUCGUGAAAACUUGGGGCUUAACCCUGAGCUUGCGGUCGAUACGGGCAUGACUGGAGUUCGGCAGGGGAGACUGGAAUUCCUGGUGUAGUGGUGAAAUGCGUAGAUAUCGGGAGGAACACCAGUGGCGAAGGCGACUUCCUGGCCUGUUCUUGACGCUGAGGCGCGAAAGCUAGGGUAGCAAACGGG